GAAAUGCGAUAAGUAAUGUGAAUUGCAGAAUUCAGUGAAUCAUCGAAUCUUUGAACGCACAUUGCGCCCGCCAGCACUCUGGCGGGCAUGCCUGUUCGAGCGUCAUUUCAACCCUCAGAACCCCUUGCGGGAUCUGGCGUUGGGGAUUGGCAUCCAGCCAGCCCCGAAAUGUAGUGGCGGUCCCUCCGCGACCUCCCCUGUGCAGUAGCGAUACCUCGCAGCGGGACAGCGGUCUGACCACGCCGUAAAACCCCCAACUUCUCAAGGUUGACCUCGAAUCAGGUAGGAAUACCCGCUGAACUUAAGC
RNAcentral lists this unclassified non-coding RNA (307 nucleotides) under plant metagenome. RNAcentral describes it as "partial contains 5.8S ribosomal RNA, internal transcribed spacer 2, and large subunit ribosomal RNA". The stretch from base 1 to 105 matches the Rfam family "5.8S ribosomal RNA", at positions 50 to 154 of the family's 154-position model. The record is from RNAcentral.